Molecule: long non-coding RNA, 581 nt
Filed under: Homo sapiens (human)
Lineage: Eukaryota; Metazoa; Chordata; Mammalia; Primates; Hominidae
Description: HSALNT0288006
Source: RNAcentral
GUAUGACUAAAUGAUAAAUAUACGUGAAUCACUGAUCAGAGUCAGUGUGUCCAGGAAGUGACAUUAUCUGCAGACCAAUACUGGCAAUGGCAGUUGGAGACAAAUAGGCUUCACCAGUCUCAAAGCCCUACCUACUACAAUGAGUCCACACUUCUCCUGGAUUUUAUCUACUUCAGCAAAAGAAGGCCACCCACCAAACCAGGCCAUUGUGCUUUGGGUGGAAACUCCUAAGUCCUAUAGUCUCCUUAAACAGCCAACCACACUGCCACUUUCCUCAAUAAUUACUGCAGCCCUGAGACUUUGGUAGCCUAGUAACUAUAACUACUGAUGCUACAGUCUGGUCACAGUAUGAUAAAACACCAGAGCAACAAAAACAAAAAUAUUGACUUAAGCCUUCUAAAAUCUCUCUAAAUAUACCUUCAAUAAAUAUGUUUUUUUCUACAGAACAACUGCUUUCUACUUCCUGAACUAACGUUUGGCCUUGGAUUUUUCUCAUUGUUGAAAUUGAUUCAAAAGUAUACAUUUAACAUGAAGGUGAUUAUAGAAUUUCAUGUGUCAGCAACUAAAAUUUUCAAAAUGAU